RNAcentral lists this ribosomal RNA (1677 nucleotides) under Doras carinatus. Its description in RNAcentral is "partial 16S ribosomal RNA". It matches the Rfam family "Bacterial large subunit ribosomal RNA". Lineage: Eukaryota; Metazoa; Chordata; Actinopteri; Siluriformes; Doradidae. The record is from RNAcentral.
GCUAAAUAGCUAGCUUAAACACCUAAAUGACAAAACAACAUUAAAACAUUUAACAAAACUACAACACCUCAAACUAAAACAUUUUACCGCCAAAGUAUGUGAGACAGAAAAGGCACUCUUUUUAAAGCUUUAGCAAAAGUACCGCAAGGGAACGCUGAAAGAGAAAUGAAACAACUCAUUAAAGCACAACAAAGCAGAGACUAAAUCUCGUACCUUUUGCAUCAUGAUUUAGCCAACCAACCUGAGCAAAGAGUACUUUAGUUCAAGACCCCGAAACUAGGUGAGCUACCCCGAGACAGCCUAUAAAUUAGGGGCAACCCGUCUCUGUGGCAAAAGAGUGGGAAGAUCUCUGGGUAGAGGUGAUAGACCUAUCGAACCUGGUUAUAGCUGGUUGCUUAGGAAAUGAAUAAAAGUUCAGCCUCGCACUCCUCAACUUACCGCCCACCGCAAAUAUAAGUCAGAGAAACACGCGAGAGUUAGUCAUAGAGGGUACAGCCCCUAUGAAAUAGGAUACAACCUAAACAGGAGGUUACAGAUUAUACUAAUUAAGAUAAACCGCUCUAGUGGGCCUAAAAGCAGCCACCUAAACAGAAAGCGUUAAAGCUCCGACGGACUAAAAAUCUAUUAUCCAAAUAUCACAUCUAAAACCCCUAACCAUACUAAGCUAUUCCAUGCCCACAUGGAAGAAAUACUGCUAAAAUGAGUAAUAAGAAGCAAAACAUGCUUCUCCUGGCCUACGUGUAUGUUAGAUCGGACCUUCCACUAACAACUACCGAGCCCAACAAAAGAGGGCACCAUGGGCUAACCAAAAAACAAGAAAUCACCAUGAACCCUAAUCGUUAAUCCCACACCGGAAGGCCUUUUAAAGGAAAGACUAAAAGAAAAGGAAGGAACUCGGCAAACACAAGCCUCGCCUGUUUACCAAAAACAUCGCCUCCUGCAACAAACCGUAUAGGAGGUCUUGCCUGCCCAGUGACUAGUUAAACGGCCGCGGUAUCCUGACCGUGCGAAGGUAGCGCAAUCACUUGUCUUUAAAUGAAGACCUGUAUGAAUGGCGGAACGAGGGGCUUAACUGUCUCCUUUUCAAGUCAAUGAAAUUGAUCUGCCCGUGCAGAAGCGGGCAUACACACACAAGACGAGAAGACCCUUUGGAGCUUAAGAUACAAAAUCAACUACAUCAAGGGCACACAAGCCAAACCAAGUAGCACCUGAUAAAUAUCUUCGGUUGGGGCGACCACGGGAGAAAACAAAGCUCCCAUGCGGACUGGGGCAACCCCCUAAAACCAAGAAAGACAUUUCUAAGUCACAGAACAUCUGACCAUAAAGAUCGGGCCACCCGCCGAUCAACGGACCAAGUUACCCUAGGGAUAACAGCGCAAUCCCCUUUCAGAGUCCAUAUCGACAAGGGGGUUUACGACCUCGAUGUUGGAUCAGGACAUCCUAUUGGUGCAGCCGCUAUUAAGGGUUCGUUUGUUCAACGAUUAAAGUCCUACGUGAUCUGAGUUCAGACCGGAGCAAUCCAGGUCAGUUUCUAUCUGUAAUGCUACUUUUUCCUAGUACGAAAGGACCGGAAAAAGGGGGCCCAUAUUACAAAUACGCCCCACCCCUAUUUAAUGCAAACAACUAAAUUAAAUAAAGGGAGAGCAAAACCCAAAAAUCAAGAUAAGAUUAUUAAGA